UACGAAGGGGGCUAGCGUUGCUCGGAAUCACUGGGCGUAAAGCGCACGUAGGCGGCUUUCUAAGUCAGGGGUGAAAUCCUGGAGCCCAACUCCAGAACUGCCUUUGAUACUGAAGAUCUCGAGUCCGGGAGAGGUGAGUGGAACUGCGAGUGUAGAGGUGAAAUUCGUAGAUAUUCGCAAGAACACCAGUGGCGAAGGCGGCUCACUGGCCCGGUACUGACGCUGAGGCACGAAAGCGUGGGGAGCGAACAGG
This 253-nucleotide ribosomal RNA is filed under the name uncultured bacterium. RNAcentral's name for it is "partial 16S ribosomal RNA". It matches the Rfam family "Bacterial small subunit ribosomal RNA", at positions 524 to 776 of the family's 1533-position model. The record is from RNAcentral.